This 440-nucleotide ribosomal RNA is filed under the name uncultured bacterium. RNAcentral describes it as "bacterial SSU rRNA". It matches the Rfam family "Bacterial small subunit ribosomal RNA", at positions 338 to 790 of the family's 1533-position model. The record is from RNAcentral.
CCUACGGGGGGCAGCAGUGGGGAAUAUUGCACAAUGGGCGCAAGCCUGAUGCAGCGACGCCGCGUGGGGGAUGAAGGCCUUCGGGUUGUAAACCCCUUUCAGCAGGGAAGAAGCGAGAGUGACGGUACCUGCAGAAGAAGCGCCGGCUAACUACGUGCCAGCAGCCGCGGUAAUACGUAGGGCGCAAGCGUUGUCCGGAAUUAUUGGGCGUAAAGAGCUCGUAGGCGGUUUGUCGCGUCUGCUGUGAAAACCCGAGGCUCAACCUCGGGCCUGCAGUGGGUACGGGCAGACUAGAGUGCGGUAGGGGAGACUGGAAUUCCUGGUGUAGCGGUGGAAUGCGCAGAUAUCAGGAGGAACACCGAUGGCGAAGGCAGGUCUCUGGGCCGCAACUGACGCUGAGGAGCGAAAGCAUGGGGAGCGAACAGGAUUAGAUACCCUUG